RNAcentral lists this ribosomal RNA (493 nucleotides) under uncultured bacterium. RNAcentral's name for it is "partial 16S ribosomal RNA". It matches the Rfam family "Bacterial small subunit ribosomal RNA", at positions 28 to 507 of the family's 1533-position model. The record is from RNAcentral.
GACGAACGCUGGCGGCGUGCUUAACACAUGCAAGUCGAACGGUGAAGGGACCGGCUUUUGCUGGUUCUGGUUGAGUCGCGAACGGGUGAGUCACACGUGAGUAACCUGCCCCCUUCUUCUGUAUAACCGCAUGACAGGGUGUCUAAUACGGGAUAUUCUGCGCCUGCUGCAUGGUGGGGUUGGGGACGGUAUUGCUUCGGUUGGUGGUGGGCUCGCGGCCUCUCAGGUUGUUUGUUGAGUGAUGGCCUACCAAGGCGGUGACGGGUAGCCGGCCCGGGGGGGUGGACGGCCACAGUGGGGAUGAGAGACCGCGAAGACUCCUACGGGCGGCAGCAGUGGGGAAUACUGCACGGUGGGAGGCAGGCUGAUGCAGCGACGCGUCGUGAGGGAUGGAGGCCGUAGGGUUGUAAACCUCUUUCGGCAGUGAAGCAGGCCUGACGCUUUUGUGGGUGGGUUGACGGUAGCUGGAUAAGAAGCGACGGCUAACUACGUG